This 80-nucleotide transfer RNA is filed under the name Serendipita indica DSM 11827. RNAcentral describes it as "Piriformospora indica DSM 11827 tRNA". It matches the Rfam family "tRNA". From Rfam's summary of the family: Transfer RNA (tRNA) molecules are approximately 80 nucleotides in length. Their secondary structure includes four short double-helical elements and three loops (D, anti-codon, and T loops). The record is from Rfam by way of RNAcentral. Lineage: Eukaryota; Fungi; Basidiomycota; Agaricomycetes; Sebacinales; Serendipitaceae.
GGCCGUGUGGCUCAAUGGCUAGAGUGCUUGACUACGAUAAUGUAAUCAAGAGGCUGCAGGUUCGAGUCCUGCCUCGGUCA